AGUGAACGCUGGCGGUAGGCCUAACACAUGCAAGUCGAACGGCAGCACAGUAAGAGCUUGCUCUUACGGGUGGCGAGUGGCGGACGGGUGAGGAAUACAUCGGAAUCUACUUUUUCGUGGGGGAUAACGUAGGGAAACUUACGCUACUACCGCAUACGACCUACGGGUGAAAGCAGGGGAUCUUCGGACCUUGCGCGAUUGAAUGAGCCGAUGUCGGAUUAGCUGGUUGGCAGGGUAAAGGCCCACCAAGGCGACGAUGCGUAGCUGACCUGAGGGGAUGAUCGGCCACACUGGAACUGAGACACGGUCCAGACUCCUACGGGAGGCCGCAGUAGGGAAUCUUCCGCAAUGGGCUGAAGCCUGACGGAGCAACGCCGCGUGAGUGAUGAAGGUCUUCGGAUCGUAAAACUCUGUUAUUAGGGAAGAACAUAUGUGUCAGUAACUGUGCACAUCUUGACGGUACCUAAUCAGAAAGCCACGGCUAACUACGUG
This 492-nucleotide ribosomal RNA is filed under the name uncultured bacterium. RNAcentral describes it as "partial 16S ribosomal RNA". It matches the Rfam family "Bacterial small subunit ribosomal RNA", at positions 29 to 507 of the family's 1533-position model. The record is from RNAcentral.